Long non-coding RNA from Ornithorhynchus anatinus (platypus), 386 nucleotides. RefSeq lists it as uncharacterized. The record is from RefSeq and is a predicted model, not a curated record. Lineage: Eukaryota; Metazoa; Chordata; Mammalia; Monotremata; Ornithorhynchidae. The transcript has 2 exons.
GACCAGAGCCAGUUGCUGGGAGCCCACACCGAACCCAUUGCCCUAGCCAACAUUCCCUUCCAGAAAAUACACCUUCCCCAUUCUGAAGAAACUAGUCUCUCCGGUCUUCUCUGUGAACACAAUAACCUCUGCCUAGGAUGAUGAUGAUAAUGAAUAAUUUAAGGAAAAUGAUGAUGGAGAUCUUUGCAACUACUGAACACAAGACCUAGGAGCACAUCGUUGACAUAAACACCAACCCCUCCUCCCCGACGCAUGAAUAGCUGCCCCUUGCCACUGAAGAUGAUGAUUCUGAUGGUGAUUUUUAAUAAAGGAAGAAUGAACAGACUUUUCUAUCAUUCUCCAAAGAUUCAUGAUCUGCCCUAUAAUUGAUAAAGAAUGGAUCCACA